UACGUAGGGGGCAAGCGUUGUCCGGAUUUAUUGGGCGUAAAGAGCGUGUAGGCGGCCAUACAGGUCCGUUGAGAAAACUGGAGGCUUAACCUCCAGACGUCGAUGGAAACCGUAUGGCUAGAGUCCGGAAGAGGAGAGUGGAAUUCCUGGUGUAGCGGUGAAAUGCGCAGAUAUCAGGAAGAACACCCGUGGCGAAGGCGGCUCUCUGGGACGGUACUGACGCUGAGACGCGAAAGCGUGGGGAGCGAACAGG
This 253-nucleotide ribosomal RNA is filed under the name uncultured bacterium. Its description in RNAcentral is "partial 16S ribosomal RNA". It matches the Rfam family "Bacterial small subunit ribosomal RNA", at positions 524 to 776 of the family's 1533-position model. The record is from RNAcentral.